CGUUCGGUGGAAACGAGAAUAAAACGUGAAGGAUAACGUUGCGUCAGCAACGGCCCGUAGGGCGAGGCAAAGCCGAGUCAUCCUGCACAACCCACCA
Molecule: small RNA, 97 nt
Filed under: Salmonella enterica subsp. enterica serovar Agona
Lineage: Bacteria; Pseudomonadati; Pseudomonadota; Gammaproteobacteria; Enterobacterales; Enterobacteriaceae
Description: partial RtT sRNA
Rfam family: RtT RNA
About the family: This family represents a bacterial cis-regulatory element known as RtT RNA. The exact function of RtT is unknown although it is thought that it may be involved in changing the cellular response in relation to amino acid starvation.
Source: RNAcentral